Molecule: non-coding RNA, 65 nt
Organism: Dipodomys ordii (Ord's kangaroo rat)
Lineage: Eukaryota; Metazoa; Chordata; Mammalia; Rodentia; Heteromyidae
Source: Rfam
GGUGGCUCAGUGGUAGAGUGCUUGCCUUGCAUGCAUGAGUCUCUGGGUUCAAUUCCUCAGCACCA